AGGUUCGUGAAGAAAAUUUCUUGAAUCGAAUUACAGAUUGGAAGAAAAAAAAAUUGGAAGAAAAUAGAUCGAAACGUAAAAGAGGCUAACAUUGGAAAAAUUGAAAACACGCAAGAGAGAGGGAGGAGAUGCCGCCACGCGUCGGCCAGCGUACGGACGCAGUGGAAACGGUGAUCGACACGGUGAGGUGCAUCCUCACCCGGCAGCGGACACGCGUCAGGCACGAGGAUUCGAGCUGGCCCGACUCGGCACUGCACGAGAAUCGCUCCGUCCGUAAACUGCCCCGACCCGAUGCCUCUGACCCACGAUUGCUCGGGAAGCUACGCGUGGGCACGCACAUGUAGGAUCUGCGCGUAGAAACCUCCAGGGCGCGUGUAGGCACGACUUGUCAAGGAAAUUCCAGAAUUUUUGGAAUCCUUUCCAUCAAGAAAACUCACUCGGGAAGGCACGCGUCAACCAAGUGAGUGAUGUCAUGGUUCGAGCGGGAAUGCGUGCUGAAUCUUAAUGCCACAGAGGAGUGUCCCGGGGCGUCUAGGAGUCUAUGCAUAUUUUUGUUUAGAUCUGUCAUGCAUUGUUUUGUAAGCUAUUUACAUACUUUUCAUAGAACUCAUAAACUACUUGAACACCUUGUUUUGGAUUUCAAACUUUCUACACAAUUGCUAAAGUGUUUUUUUGUAA
Cucurbita moschata (crookneck pumpkin) is the source of this 678-nucleotide long non-coding RNA. RefSeq lists it as uncharacterized. Lineage: Eukaryota; Viridiplantae; Streptophyta; Magnoliopsida; Cucurbitales; Cucurbitaceae. The transcript has 3 exons. The record is from RefSeq and is a predicted model, not a curated record.